Molecule: ribosomal RNA, 644 nt
Filed under: uncultured bacterium
Lineage: Bacteria
Description: bacterial SSU rRNA
Rfam family: Bacterial small subunit ribosomal RNA
Source: RNAcentral
UAAAGGUAUUCCGGUAGACGAUGGGGAUGCGUUCCAUUAGAUAGUAGGCGGGGUAACGGCCCACCUAGUCUUCGAUGGAUAGGGGUUCUGAGAGGAAGGUCCCCCACAUUGGAACUGAGACACGGUCCAAACUCCUACGGGAGGCAGCAGUGAGGAAUAUUGGUCAAUGGGCGAGAGCCUGAACCAGCCAAGUAGCGUGAAGGAUGACUGCCCUAUGGGUUGUAAACUUCUUUUAUAAAGGAAUAAAGUCGGGUAUGGAUACCCGUUUGCAUGUACUUUAUGAAUAAGGAUCGGCUAACUCCGUGCCAGCAGCCGCGGUAAUACGGAGGAUCCGAGCGUUAUCCGGAUUUAUUGGGUUUAAAGGGAGCGUAGAUGGAUGUUUAAGUCAGUUGUGAAAGUUUGCGGCUCAACCGUAAAAUUGCAGUUGAUACUGGAUAUCUUGAGUGCAGUUGAGGCAGGCGGAAUUCGUGGUGUAGCGGUGAAAUGCUUAGAUAUCACGAAGAACUCCGAUUGCGAAGGCAGCCUGCUAAGCUGCAACUGACAUUGAGGCUCGAAAGUGUGGGUAUCAAACAGGAUUAGAUACCCUGGUAGUCCACACGGUAAACGAUGAAUACUCGCUGUUUGCGAUAUACUGCAAGCAGCCA